GUAGGUGGCAAGCGUUGUCCGGAAUUAUUGGGCGUAAAGCGCGCGCAGGCGGUCCUUUAAGUCUGGUGUGAAAGCCCACGGCUCAACCGUGGAGGGUCAUUGGAAACUGGGGGACUUGAGUACAGAAGAGGAAAGCGGAAUUCCAAGUGUAACGGUGAAAUGCGUAGAGAUUUGGAGGAACACCAGUGGCGAAGGCGGCUUUCUGGUCUGUAACUGACGCUGAGGCGCGAAAGCGUGGGGAGCAAACAGGAUUAGAUACCCUGGUAGUCCACGCCGUAAACGAUGAGUGCUAAGUGUUAGGGGGUUUCCCGCCCCCCUUAGUGCUGCAGCUAACGCAUUAAGCACUCCGCCUGGGGAGUACGGCCGCAAGGCUG
RNAcentral lists this ribosomal RNA (374 nucleotides) under uncultured organism. RNAcentral's name for it is "partial 16S ribosomal RNA". It matches the Rfam family "Bacterial small subunit ribosomal RNA", at positions 527 to 896 of the family's 1533-position model. The record is from RNAcentral.